AUGUUCACAAAAACAUCAUUGCUAGGGUUACUGUAUUUAUGCGCUAUUUUGAUCGGUUUUCCAGAAAAAUCGACGGGAAGUGACCCCCUACCAACAACACCCCCCGCCCCAACAGUAUCCCCAUAUGGAAAUGAGACCCUUCCAACACUGUUCCCACCGCUGGUAUUUCCGAACUUCACCGUACCAACGCUGAACCCAAUGGCGCCAGUACCACCACCCACAUUUGGUCCAAUUCCUGGCCUUGGAAAUUUCACCCUACCUACACUUGGCACGCUGCCAGGCUUCGGGAACUUUACCCUUCCAACUUUUGCCCCACUGAACCUUAGUUUCCCGGGGCUUCCAACAAUGGCUCCGCUGAAUCUGAGUCUGCCAAAUUUCAUGAAUUUCACACUUCCAACCAUGCCAACAUUUGCUCCCCUGGUGCUAGGCGAUCUAUCCAACUUCACGCUACCUACCCUUGCUCCGUUCAAUCUAAGCCACCUGGGACUUGGCACCAUGCCAACUUUUGCACCACUGAACCUGAGCUUCCCAGGGCUUCCUACGAUGGCUCCACUAAACCUGAGCCAUUUAGGUCUUGGCACGAUGCCAACUUUUGCUCCACUGAAUCUCAGUCUCCCCGAGCUCCCCAGCCUUCCUACAAUGGCCCCGUUGAACCUGAGCCACCUGGGACUUGGCACCAUGCCAACUUUUGCUCCACUGAACCUAAGCCUACCCGCACUGCCUACCAUGUCCCCAAUGAACCUAACCAUCCUAGGACUCCCGACGAUGGCUCCAGUGAAUCUCACCGGGCUCCCCACAUUGCUUCCGAUCACCAAUCCGCCAUCAAUGGGCACUACAACCAAGCCACCUGCGGCCCCCAGUACUGCCUGCGGAUCCGCUACAUGUACCUCUACGCAGGUCUGCGCGUCGCCACUAAACUCGACACAGACCUGCAUCCCACGGCUCCCGGAUCGCCGUUACUGUAUUGAUGAGCCGUGUCAAGUGGGCAUGAAGUGCUUUGAUAACGUCACUAGCAACGCCUACACUUGUUAUACCAAACUGGACGGCACCGCCGGUGAAUGCCUUGGCAUCAAGUGCUCACCCGGAGACAUUUGCUUCCAAACUAUGGGAAAACCUGCCCAAUGCAUACAGCUUAAGCAAGCCCCAAAAUGCGUGGGCGCCAACGAGGAGUUCUCGGCGUGCAAGUCGGGCUGUGAGGGUACCUGUGAAGAACCGUCCCCGCCGUGCAUGAACUCGACCACCUGCACGUCAGGAUGUGCCUGCAUACGUGGUUAUGUGAGGAUCAAUGGGGUCUGUGAGCUCAUGUCAAAGUGCCCGGUUACUGUAACGGAAGGUGUUUCGUGUGCUGGCGCUGAAGUCUACACGGCGUGUAUGCCAGAGUGUGAGAAAACGUGCUCAGGGGUGCCGAAUCAGACAUCCCACCAAUGGGAUGCUCUUCUAUGCUCUGCGCCAACGGAACAACAUGCCGAGAAGACAGGGUGAAAUGUGACAAGCGUCCUUGCCCAAUACGAGCACUAUGCCUGCCGAACUUUCAACCAAAUGGAAAACCGAGCUUUUGCGAAGUGGCCGGCUGUGGUGCCGGGGAGAUUUGCCAUGAAACUAUAGAAAUAUGCGGGGAACCUCCUUGCAGAUCUAUGGCCACCUGCCUGCCGACAACCAACCACACCGUCAAUAUAACUGACAUCGGAUGCUCUAACGCUACUUGUCCAGUUGGGAAAAAGUGCGAAGAAGUCACAGUGGCGUGCUUCAGUCCUCCAUGCCUGAAAUCUGUAAGAUGUGUUGGAGAAAACUGGAUUCAGGAGGUGAAUUUCGACUGUGACGCGAUGCGAUGUGGGCCUGAUGAGGGAUGUAUGCAGAGUGUGGAAAUUUGUGAGAGGCCUCCGUGCCCAACAAAAUCAUGGUGCAUCGUCCAAACAAAUGUGGACACUUUUACAAAAUGUCCUAAAAACCAAACUAUGACGGAUUGCCUCAACCCAUGCAGUGAAGAUAAGUGCCCAGGAAUUUUAAAGAAAACCGAAUGCACAAAUCGCUGCGGCCAGGGAUGUGCUUGUGCCUACGGCUACCUCCGAUCCAGCGACGGCGAGUGCUACAAGCCCAAGGAUUGUCCACCAGAGUGCGGUCAAAACGAGGAGUACCGGUGUGAAAAGUGCGCGGGAACCUGUAAAAACCCGGAGCCCAACUGCCCCGGACCAAAGAACAAGAGCUGUAAGAGGGCUUGCAUUUGUGCACCGGGCUUUGUAAAGGAGAAUGGAAAAUGUGUGACGCUGGAUAGCUGCCCGGAUCAUGAUCAUACAAACAUCACGUGUCUGGAAACCCAAGAGUACACGGAUUGCCUCCCAAAAUGCCAAAAACAGUGCUCGGGGGCUCCAAAAUGUGAAGCUGGCUCAGCAUGCACCCCGGGAUGCUUUUGUAGGUCGAAUUACAAGCUGGACAGCAAUGGUGACUGUGUUCACAAGCGGAAAUGCUCCGAAACCACCAAAUGUCCGGGCAGCGAGAAAUGGUCCAAUUGCAUUGGGAACGCAAACUUAUGCGAUUUGACUGCAUUUUCUAGGCUUUCAGACAAAUUCAAUUGUCGUUCAGGGUGUAUAUGCGCUGAUGGAUUGGCAAGGGACAAAAAUGGGACAUGUGUGGCUACUGAUAAAUGCUGA
This 2648-nucleotide unclassified non-coding RNA is filed under the name Caenorhabditis elegans. RNAcentral's name for it is "Non-coding transcript of protein-coding gene Y69H2.10b". Lineage: Eukaryota; Metazoa; Nematoda; Chromadorea; Rhabditida; Rhabditidae. The record is from RNAcentral.